CCGCAUACACAUGAACCGAAUAACAUGCGAGCUUGCUGGCUUUUGAUUGCUUGCUUGUUUUAGAUAUGUUGAUCACAGCUGUCAUGUCAUAUUCUCAACCCAUGUGUAGCGCUCAUCUGCCAGGUUGUGAAACUGACUCACCUGAUAUGCCUACGACAUACCCGAAACAACCAUUAUGUUGCAAAACAGAGGCUUUUCAUACUUUUUACACUAAAUUGUGGACUGUUUUAGUAUCAGCGUAGUAUGAUAUUGAAUGCAUGUGAGCAGGGUAAGACGAAAGACAUCAUUAGAGCAGUUUCAAUGUGCAUCAGCCUCACAGUUCCUCAAGGAUUGCGUGCAUCUAGUCUAUAUAGGAUCAAUCCACCUACAGCAUCGGUAGGUUUUCAAGCGCCAGGAAUGGCAUCAGAUUGGAAGAUUAGAAAUUAGCUCAAACGAAUAAAUGUAAUUAAGUUAUGAAGCUGUUCUCGUCGCGAAUCAUCACGACAUUACCCUGUUGUCUACAGACGUGAACACCAAAAGGCACUGGCUGUCAAAGGCAACGCUCAAAUUAUCUUGGCUUCAAACGACAGCUGGUCAUAUCGAAGAACGGCUUUCAAACGCUACCCACGUAGCUGGCAAGCAGAAGGGUCACAUCGUCAACGCCGAGUGGCAAAUUAACUCUGUGGACCGAACUACUCAGGUUCUUCAGAGUUAUCUUCAGCUGGAGGGAUUCACGUCCUUCAACAGGGCCCGGCAGCACCGACAGCAGCUGUUCUCAACAAGCAGCCGCCUGAGAAAACUGAGCCGCGAGGCAGCUGCUCUAGCCGACAGUCACGUUGAAACUGCUGACACGCUCACCACCAUUGGCCAGACUGCGCUAAGCGAAGCAACUGCAGCGUACAACAUGUUAGCCACCCAGCUGACCGAAGACGGGCAGGCAUCUUCACCAGAUCUAGUUGAUCUGCGAGAAGCGUAUGGGGAGCUGACGUUGCUUAUGCAGCAAGUGCACGCGGGUUCGGCAGAGGCGUCAGCAGAAGCGGACUCCGUUCAACUGAAGUCGGUGCAAAGUCGCCAGCAUGCGCUGAAUCUAUCGUCUGCAGGGGCUUCCGGCGUCCUUCUGGAAAAGGCACUCUUCGCCGCCGAACAGAUUUCUUUAAUGAGUAAGAAUUUGUCCGAAGGUUACAAAAAUGUCGCAGGUAAGGAAGGUGAAAUAUUGAAGAAUUCUUCACUUGCGGAGACGAACUUGAAAAGGGCAGCUCUGGCAAGAGGAGAUAUUGAUGAACUCUGGAAUAGGGCGGACAGGGCGAACACCGCAACAUUGGCAGCCGUCGAGACAGCAGAAGAUGUUCUUUUGGGGGUGAAGGAUACAGCUAUGGACCUGAACGACUUGGAGGAGCGGGUGGCGCGGGGCAGCGCCGAGGCGGCGGCGGC
Long non-coding RNA from Pollicipes pollicipes, 1410 nucleotides. RefSeq lists it as uncharacterized. The record is from RefSeq and is a predicted model, not a curated record. The transcript is spliced from 7 exons. NCBI's taxonomy places the organism in Eukaryota, Metazoa, Arthropoda, Thecostraca, Pollicipedomorpha, Pollicipedidae.